AUUGAACGCUGGCGGCAUGCCUUACACAUGCAAGUCGAACGGCAGCACGGGAGCAAUCCUGGUGGCGAGCAGCGAACGGGUGAGUAAAGUAUCGGAACGUGCCCAGUCGUGGGGGAUAACGUAGCGAAAGUUACGCUAAUACCGCAUACGAUCUAUGGAUGAAAGCGGGGGAUCGCAAGACCUCGCGCGAUUGGAGCGGCCGAUAUCAGAUUAGGUAGUUGGUGGGGUAAAGGCUCACCAAGCCGACGAUCUGUAGCUGGUCUGCGAGGACGGCCAGCCACACUGGGACUGAGACACGGCCCAGACUCCUACGGGAGGCAGCAGUGGGGAAUUUUGGACAAUGGGCGAAAGCCUGAUCCAGCCAUGCCGCGUGCAGGAUGAAGGCCUUCGGGUUGUAAACUGCUUUUGUACGGAACGAAAAGGUUUGGCCUAAUAAGCUGAGCUCAUGACGGUACCGUAAGAAUAAGCACCGGCUAACUACGUGCCAGCCGCCGCCGUAA
RNAcentral lists this ribosomal RNA (500 nucleotides) under uncultured bacterium. RNAcentral describes it as "partial 16S ribosomal RNA". It matches the Rfam family "Bacterial small subunit ribosomal RNA", at positions 30 to 523 of the family's 1533-position model. The record is from RNAcentral.